GUCUCCGGUUUAAACAGUCCACAGAGCAAGACCUCGGCUCUGCUAUUCUAGAUUUCCUAGCCCGUAUUUUUCACUCUGUUUUAUUCUUCUCAAUGACUCACACACAGGGCUGAGACUGUGCUGUCAUGGAAAAGCACAUAGCAACAGCAGAAUGACGGCUGGAGGAGGGGUGACUUUCUCUCAUGUGCAUUCAUAGUGAGCCACCUAACGUAUUAGCCUCAGAGUGGAGUGGCGUCCUGGUUGCUGUGGCAACUGACAGGCGCACCUUUGGUGAGGUCAUCAGAGAUGGACCGGAAGUACAGCGGGAAGCCGCGUCUCCGGCCACGAGCAGAGCACUGGCGGGCUUCUUCUAGAUAAAAGGUGCAGCGUAGUGGAUGGAUACACCAGAAACAGUGGUGAUGUUAAAAGUUCUGCCUGGAAGAAGACUGCUACUCCAGGUGCAUGAGACGAGGGAGGUAAUCAGCCACCAACUUCAGAUAUUAUUAUCUUAUGUAUGUUUUAAGAUUUGCUAUACACACUUGCUUUUUAUUGUAUCUAGUUUUAUUGACCUUCAGUUUAUGUAUGUUCCUAUACAGGGUUUGUUUAUCUUUUUGGAACACAGUUACUGCUGUAUAUUAUCUCUGUGUAUUUGACCCUAUUAUCCCAGGACAGUCAAUAAUAAAUCCUAUUCAGUGCUAUUCCGGAGGCUUUUACAAAUCUCUUCUAUAAAGUAACACAUUAAUGUAAGUAAAUUUGACCAGAAACCUUUCAAUCUGUCGCUAAGCGAGAAGAGGCUAUAUCCAAAGACAAAUAGCCGACAGAUAUUCUCUAAAUUAUUAUGGUUGCUAUUUGCUUUCAUGACAGUGUUUUUUACUACUGGGCCUUGAAAUCUAGCCUGUGGCUCCAGAGUUCAGCGUUAAGAAUACAGAUUGUCCUAAAAGACCUCAAGAAUAGUUUUAGAACAUACUGUAACUAUGAUUUGUUCAUGUUAAACUGCUUCACUGCUGCACAAGUCUGACACAGAUUAAUAUAGGGACAUUUACAGAUGUCAACAGAAAUUUUUCAUACUUAAAUGGCCCAUUUAGAGACCUUCAGCUGUGCAUUAGCCUUUGCUACACAAAGGCUUUCAAUAAUGGUUCUAAUACAGCACACAAGUAAUUUCAUUUAACUAUCAGGGGAAUAAAAUACUAUGAUUCUAAGCUCCUAC
Molecule: long non-coding RNA, 1186 nt
Organism: Pseudophryne corroboree (corroboree frog)
Lineage: Eukaryota; Metazoa; Chordata; Amphibia; Anura; Myobatrachidae
Exons: 4
Source: RefSeq, a predicted model, not a curated record